CUUGUAAUUGACAUUGCUGACUUUCUCCAAUAUCUUAUACGGUCCAUGCCAGUUCUUAAGUAAUUUUGUUGUCAAUCUUCCUUUUGUUUUCCUGAUCGCGCCGGUCUUGUCAACAACUCGAGGAACAUUCCAACGGUAAACGAGACUACCGAUUGGAUAAUCAACGGUCGUUCGAUGUUGAUUAUAAAGUGGUGCAUUGAUCAAAGGCAGCAUUGCAGCAGAGUUUUGCGAUUUCUUGAGCGUCGCUGGGAAAAAAAAUUUGAGUUCUUUAACGUAUUGAUCCAUAUCAUUUAUUAAUUGUCGUUCAGUGGCACCAGUGGCAACGUCGAGAGGAGUUGUGGCUUUUCUUCUAUACAGGAGUUCAAAUGGGGAAAAUUUUGUUGUUUUGCUGAGUGAGGUGUUGAUGGCGUGAUUGACGAAAGAAGCGUGUACCCCGAUCGGAAACGAUGAAGGACGGGACUCCGUGUCGUAAAAUCACAUUUUCCAUGAGGAAUUUUGCUGCAUUUUCGGCGGUGGCACUGCGAACCGGGUCCCUGGUAGUCAAUCCCGAUGGUAUGGAACGGCCCGUGGACUUUAAUCGGUUGCAAAUAUCCGGAUGGUUUCCCGUUUGGCGGCUUUUUAACGUUGCAUGGAAUACAGGAUGCGAGGUGACGGGAUACGGAUUCAAUCAUUCCAGGCCAGUAAUAACGACCUUGUAAAUUGUAGUACGUCUUUUCUUGACCAAAAUGGCCGGAAAGGUCAUGCGCAUUUUUAAGAACUUCGGCGUGCAUAGUCUUCGGUACGACCAGUAGGAAAGUCAUUUCGUCGUUCUUUGCAUGUCAGGACGUGAAGAGGAGCGGAACGCGUCGCAAUGUCACGAAUGAAUUUACCAUAGUAACUAACCAUUCCCAGGAAGGAUCGUAACUGUUUCUUGUUCGUCGGGGCUUCGAGUUUGGUAAUUGCUUCAACCUUCUUCGGAUUGGGACUGAUGCCGUAGGGAUUUACUACGUGUCCCAAGAAGUCAAUUUGUGUAUGUCCAAAUGCACACUUUGAGGGUUUUAGCUUCAGGUCCGCUUCGGAAAGUCUCCGUAGAACUUCUUCCAAGUAAGCUAGAUGCUCUUCGAAAGUUUUGCUGAAUACGUUAAUGUCGUCCAAGUAGAUUAGAACAAAUUUGUACGUAAUUCCAUUAAAAAUUUUUGUCAUCAUUCUCAUAAAGGUUGCGGGGGCGUUCGUUAAGCCGAACGGCAUUACCUCGAAGCGGUACUGAUUUGAAGGUGUUAGGAAGGCGGUUUUGUCUUUCGACUCCUCAUCCAUCGGAACUUGAAGGUAUCCUUGGACCAUGUCUAAUCCGGAAAAGUACUUUGCUCCUCGAAGGACGUCCAGGCAAUCGUCUAUCCGUGGGAGCGGAUACGUCUUUUAUCGUCGAAGCGUUUAGGUCCCGGUAGUCGACGCAUGUCCUUAUCCCAUUCUUCUGUUGAACUAGGACCAAAUUCGCUGCAUAGUUUGACUGACAGGGUUUGAUAAUGCCGAGUUUUAUCCAAUCUUCAAUCUGCUUGUCCAUGGCUUCUUUUUCCCUUCGCGAGUAUCUGCGUAGGUUUCUUGCUGUCGGAGAAUCCGUGCCGGUGUUAACCGUGUGCUCGAUGCAGUUGGCUCGUCCCAUAGGUUGGUCUUUCGUUGGGAACACGUGUCGAUACUUGUACAGCAGUUUCAAUAAUGCCUCUUUCUGGUCAGUGGUCAGCUCUGGGCCCAACUAUAACGUCUCUUUGAAUUCUUCGAACGAUGGAUCGCUUGCUAAAAAUUUGGCCGAAUUUCCUAAGCAGGUCGUUCGGGUUUAACUGACCAUCAAUAUCGUCGUACGCAUCCUUGGUAUUUUCUUGUGACUCGUCGUCGGGGUUUCCCAUGUCCACGGGGUUUCACAAGAUUAACUCAUGUACUUCCUUCUCAUUCGAUAUACUUUGAUUACGCGCGCGUUGAGGAUCUGCCGCUGGGUCCAGGUGUACACUUUCUGGCCCAUUUGCACUUGACCUCGCGUUGUAUGGACGAGAAGCACCCGUAUUCCCUUUGUCUCGCCAGAGGUGUACAGUCUCCGUUGAGGCGUUGGGAGGUUGUCUUUGGAUGGAUGUGCUUGGAGCAUCUGCGACAGUCCUUACUUUAGUCACAAGUUUCGUCACAGGGUUGUACAUCCUUGAGUUUGCGAAUUUCACAACAAAUGGCGUGCUGUUUAAGUAAUCCGUUCCCAAAAGCAGUUUGAACGAAAAAUCGUCCAAUAUCGCGGCCGUUACAUUUGUACGUGUCCCAAGUAAAUUCACAGCGAAUCGACAAGCCUUUGUUAUUUAAGUGUAUCCCCCGAAGCCGACGUAGCGCGUGUACCUGUCCAGGUAUGGGCGCGCAAAUUCCUUUCGUUCACAAACCUCCUGUUUACAAGUGAAAUACCAGAUCCAGUGUCGAGUAUGGCUUCGGUCGGCUUAUUGUUGAUUCGUACGUAACAAGAGAGUGCGCCGGAUGAAACGUUGCAUAUGAGGGUUGAUGAAUCCGCGGUAAAAAGAGCCGAAUUUCGCCGCGGGUUUUAGUUUAACGGUCCUUCCACGACGUAUUCACUUUCAUCAUUUCCUUCUCCAUCCGUGUACGUGAAGUAGGUCGGUCGUCUUUGAGGUCGGCCAUUAUACAUUCCGCGCUGGUAGCUGUUUCCGCGUUGCAUGCCGUUUGACCUGUACUGUCGAGAAUGUCGACAGUCCGUGGUGACGUGAUCGUUCCUUCCGCAGUUGUGACAUUUUGAAUAGCAGUCGGCAAAGCGGUGUCCGGGUCGGUGUUGUUGUUGUUGCCUCGUGGACGGAAGUCUUGCUUUUGAUUGAUGUUGUUGAUCAUCGUCAUCACCUGGUCGAAUUUCUGGGUCAUUUCAGCAAUCUUGUCAGGUUGGGUUGAAACUGCAAAUGCCGGUUUGUGUUUUUCUUGGUCUUCCAGUUCUUUUCUUUCCGCUUUCUCUUUGUACUAGAUUUUCUUGGACUCGGCUGUCAGCUAUCCAGGAAGUCUUUAACGUUCGUUGGUCUGUUUGAAAUAAAACUGGUCUUCAUCCGGGUCGGUAGUUCUCGAAAUAACUCAGUCGCUUUAUCUCUUUCCGUUGCUGUCGGGUUGAUGACCUCGUACAUUUUCAGUACUUUGCUGACAUACGAAACAGGAUCCUUCUUAGCCAAAUUUUGGAAGUGUUCUUUCUUUAGGUCAUAGUCCAGGUCAGUUGGCCCAAAUGUCUUGAGAAGUGCUGUUCGGAGAGUGUCCCAAACACGGUGUUUUGACCGUUCUGA
This is a long non-coding RNA of Paramacrobiotus metropolitanus, 3278 nucleotides long. RefSeq lists it as uncharacterized. The record is from RefSeq and is a predicted model, not a curated record. NCBI's taxonomy places the organism in Eukaryota, Metazoa, Tardigrada, Eutardigrada, Parachela, Macrobiotidae. The transcript has 3 exons.